GCACCCGUCGUCUAGUGGCAGGAUGCGGGCCUUCCAAGCCCGCGACCCGGGUUCAAAUCCCGGCGGGUGCA
Molecule: transfer RNA, 71 nt
Filed under: Candidatus Nanobsidianus stetteri
Lineage: Archaea; Nanobdellati; Nanobdellota; Candidatus Nanoarchaeia; Nanoarchaeales; Nanopusillaceae
Also listed under: 2 other names
Description: tRNA-Gly
Rfam family: tRNA
About the family: Transfer RNA (tRNA) molecules are approximately 80 nucleotides in length. Their secondary structure includes four short double-helical elements and three loops (D, anti-codon, and T loops).
Source: RNAcentral